RNAcentral lists this ribosomal RNA (1387 nucleotides) under Triticum aestivum (bread wheat). RNAcentral's name for it is "partial small subunit ribosomal RNA". Lineage: Eukaryota; Viridiplantae; Streptophyta; Magnoliopsida; Poales; Poaceae. The record is from RNAcentral.
CUCUUUCACGUAACCCUCACCUUACCUUCUUUAUUACACUCGUUUAAUGAUACACAGAACCAGCUUCUCUUCAACAGAAAUCCGGAUUAUUUGGGCCUACCUCCCUCAUUGAUGGUAAUUAAUUUGACGAGUAGUACUUCAUGUACAGGAGCCAAAAAUCAGUAAAGAAUAUCUUUAAACAUGAGGGAGGCAAGGUAUAAUCAACAGCGAGUUUGCCUACAUAGAUCGUGACUUUAUGCAGAUCUAUGUAGGUAAAGUCUCUGUUGAUUAUAUCUUGCCUCCCUCAUCAAAAAUACAGGCAACUCGAGUCCUAACACCUCUAUGAUGGUCGGCUAGAUUAACAUGAGACCAACGUACAGGGGAUUGAGGUGUCAUUGUACCAUUAACGAAGUGAAAAAUAAAUACUAUAGAAAGAUUCCCGUUUGUAUUAAUCAUCUAACACAUUUCUUCCAGUAAGUAUUUUUUUACCUCGAUACGAAUAACGUGAUCCCUGCACAUCGUAAAAAAAGAGGGUAACGUUGCGUGCCCGUACAAACGAUAUCAGUUAUUUUAGGGAUUAGGCACUGUAAGACUAGUUAAUAGAGCUUGUCUGUGUACAUCACUAACUAUUGAAUUUAUUUUAGUUCAAUAAAAGGAUUUGAUUCUAAAAAAAACGAACAAGGUCAGCAGUCGAUAAAACUUAAAUAAAGUACUACACGGACGAGUAUAGACUCAGGACUGGUAGACCACGAGAAAAAGUCUAAACGAGUACUAAGAUGUCAAGAAAAGACUUGAACAAGCAGGAUAAGCCCUAAACGAAGAAGGUUAGAUGAUAAGACUAAAGGAAAAAGGGUCCGAACCAGUUCUUGAUCGUACGAUGUUUUAUCUAUUUCCUCACCGAACGACUACGAGUAUUAAGGUUCUACAAGAAUGUCUGGCGUGGAGAGACAAUACCCGUAGAAUCAAGACGUUAGUUCAACGAGUACACGUAUUUUGACGAUACUGUGUAGAUAAACAAAUUCUACAGUACAACAAGACGUUUAACUUCAAACACACAUGUGAUAGGGUGUUGUACCUCAUCACUCCUACGUCUCCGGGAUCUAGUUGGUGAACUACACUUAGUUAUAUCACCAACACGUUUCACAUAUUCCAGCAAAGACUUGGAGUCGUACCUCCGCAACGUGAUUCCCUACGUCACUAGAAGCGGGUCCCAUUAAAAAGCUCCUAAGUGAUCUCUGUCUGACGAUGCUCAACCAACCAAGCAUAGACCAGUCGCUAGCUAGUAAAAGUAGAAAACCAUAAGUCAAUCGGUCUAUUCAUGAUGCAUACCUUCUGAAGGAAACAGUUUUGGUCGAUCGAGUAACCAAGUAAAAGUACAUUAAUAGCCAUUGUGGAAAAACUUAGAACG